Molecule: ribosomal RNA, 385 nt
Filed under: uncultured bacterium
Lineage: Bacteria
Description: bacterial SSU rRNA
Rfam family: Bacterial small subunit ribosomal RNA
Source: RNAcentral
AUUGAACGCUGGCGGAAUGCUUUACACAUGCAAGUCGAGCGGCAGCGCGGGGGCAACUCUGGCGGCGAGCGGCGAACGGGUGAGUAAUGCAUCGGAACAUGUCCGGUUGUGGGGGAUAACCUGGCGAAAGCCAGGCUAAUACCGCAUGAGCUCGAGAGAGGAAAGCGGGGGACCUGCAAGGGCCUCGCGCGACCGGGUUGGCCGAUGUCCGAUUAGCUAGNGGUGGGGUAAAGGCUUACCAAGGCGAUGAUCGGUAGCUGGUCUGAGAGGAUGAUCAGCCACACUGGGACUGAGACACGGCCCAGACUCCUACGGGAGGCAGCAGUGGGGAAUUUUGGACAAUGGGGGCAACCCUGAUCCAGCCAUUCCGCGUGAGUGAAGAAGG